ACUCCAUGAUGUGGACAAGACCUUGUGUAUCCCUUGAAACGUUCCCAAACUUCAUAUAAUGACUCAUUUCCUCCUUGUUUGAAAGUUGCAAUGUCAUUCCUUAUCUU
Molecule: non-coding RNA, 107 nt
Organism: Arabis alpina (gray rockcress)
Lineage: Eukaryota; Viridiplantae; Streptophyta; Magnoliopsida; Brassicales; Brassicaceae
Source: Rfam